Molecule: regulatory RNA element, 114 nt
Organism: Cavia porcellus (domestic guinea pig)
Lineage: Eukaryota; Metazoa; Chordata; Mammalia; Rodentia; Caviidae
Rfam family: Potassium channel RNA editing signal
About the family: This family represents a group of sequences related to the human potassium channel Kv1.1 hairpin element which directs the efficient modification of an adenosine to inosine by an adenosine deaminase acting on RNA (ADAR). The ADAR modification causes an isoleucine/valine recoding event which lies in the ion-conducting pore of the potassium channel.
Source: Rfam
GUGGGCUAUGGAGACAUGAGGCCCAUCACUGUAGGGGGCAAGAUUGUGGGCUCUCUGUGUGCCAUUGCUGGGGUCCUCACCAUUGCCUUGCCUGUUCCUGUCAUAGUCUCCAAC